AGUCGAGGGGCAGCAUGGGGAGUAGCAAUACUCUCUGAUGGCGACCGGCGCAAGGGUGCGUAACGCGUGAGCAACUUGCCCUCAUCAGGGGAAUAAUCGCUGGAAACGGCGUCUAAUGCCCCAUGGUGAUGUCCUCAGGCAUCUGAGGUCAUCUAAAGAUCCGUCGGAUGGGGAUAGGCUCGCGUGACAUUAGCUAGACGGCGGGGUAACGGCCCACCGUGGCGACGAUGUCUAGGGGUUCUGAGAGGAAGGUCCCCCACACUGGAACUGAGACACGGUCCAGACUCCUACGGGAGGCAGCAGUGAGGAAUAUUGGUCAAUGGCCGGAAGGCUGAACCAGCCAUGCCGCGUGAAGGUCAGUGCCCUAUGGGCGUUAAACUUCUUUUGUGCGGGAGCAAUAAUGGUCACGUGUGGCCAGGCGAGAGUACCGUACGAAUAAGCAUCGGCUAACUCCGUGCCAGCAGCCGCGGUAAUACGGGGGAUGCAAGCGUUAUCCGGAUUUAUUGGGUUUAAAGGGAGCGUAGACGGCAGCGCAAGUCUGGAGUGAAAUCCCAUGGCUUAACCAUGGAACUGCUUUGGAAACUGUGCAGCUAGAGUGCAGGAGAGGUAAGCGGAAUUCCUAGUGUAGCGGUGAAAUGCGUAGAUAUUAGGAGGAACACCAGUGGCGAAGGCGGCUUACUGGACUGUAACUGACGUUGAGGCUCGAAAGCGUGGGGAGCAAACAGGAUUAGAUACCCUGGUAGUCCACGCUGUAAACGAUGAUUACUAGGCGUUGGGGGACCAAGGUCCUUCGGUGCCGGCGCAAACGCAUUAAGUAAUCCACCUGGGGAGUACGUUCGCAAGAAUGAAACUCAAAGGAAUUGG
This 864-nucleotide ribosomal RNA is filed under the name uncultured bacterium. RNAcentral describes it as "bacterial SSU rRNA". It matches the Rfam family "Bacterial small subunit ribosomal RNA", at positions 60 to 913 of the family's 1533-position model. The record is from RNAcentral.